UCGAGAAUUUUUCACAAUGGGCGCAAGCCUGAUGGAGCGACGCCGCGUGGGGGAUGAAUGGCUUCGGCCCGUAAACCCCUGUCAUUUGCGAUCAAACCUCGUUAUUUAAAAGAUGACGAGCUGAUGGUAGCGGAAGAGGAAGGGACGGCUAACUCUGUGCCAGCAGCCGCGGUAAUACAGAGGUCCCAAGCGUUGUUCGGAUUCACUGGGCGUAAAGGGUGCGUAGGUGGUGGGGGUAAGUCGGAUGUGAAAGCUCGGAGCUCAACUCCGAAAUGGCAUUGGAAACUACCCUGCUGGAGGGUCGGAGGGGGGACUGGAAUUCUCGGUGUAGCAGUGAAAUGCGUAGAUAUCGAGAGGAACACCAGUGGCGAAGGCGAGUCCCUGGACGACACCUGACACUGAGGCACGAAAGCUAGGGGAGCAAACAGGAUUAGAUACCCUGGUAGUCCUAGCCGUAAACGGUGCACGUUUGCUGUAAAAGGAAUCGACCCCUUUUGU
RNAcentral lists this ribosomal RNA (498 nucleotides) under uncultured Verrucomicrobiota bacterium. Its description in RNAcentral is "bacterial SSU rRNA". It matches the Rfam family "Bacterial small subunit ribosomal RNA", at positions 355 to 844 of the family's 1533-position model. Lineage: Bacteria; Pseudomonadati; Verrucomicrobiota. The record is from RNAcentral.